AAAAUUCUUCAAUUACGUUGUUCAAUCAGUUACAAUGCUCUCUGUCAUUGUAGGUUAAUCAAAGGGCCACUAUAUUCACUAUGAAGAAUCAAUUAUUUUAACUAAGCUUAGUGCAACUACUAGCACUAUGCAAUGAAAAAGUUAAUCAAAUAAAUUAAACAAAAUUUUUACUUAGAGGAGGCCUACCCCGGCUGCGGAAGUAUCUGGGGCGAAAUCUACUUUGUUAUCUGAUGACAAGGCGUGAGAAUGAUGCCAACUCUAACUCCCAGAUGGAACCCACCCUUCAUCGUGUUAAAGAUGAUCAAUUGUUCACACCUAACACAGUAUAACUAACUACAUCCAUCU
Molecule: long non-coding RNA, 345 nt
Organism: Lycium ferocissimum
Lineage: Eukaryota; Viridiplantae; Streptophyta; Magnoliopsida; Solanales; Solanaceae
Exons: 2
Source: RefSeq, a predicted model, not a curated record